CCUACGGGAGGCAGCAGUGGGGAAUAUUGCACAAUGGGGGAAACCCUGAUGCAGCGAUGCCGCGUGGAGGAAGAAGGUUUUCGGAUUGUAAACUCCUUUUAUCAGGGACGAUAAUGACGGUACCUGAAGAAAAAGCUCCGGCUAACUACGUGCCAGCAGCCGCGGCAAUACGUAGGGAGCGAGGGUUGUCCGGAAGUACGGGGGGUAAAGGGGGCGUAGGCGGGGCGGAAAGUCAGAUGUGAAAACUGAGGGGUUAACUUUCAGACUGCAUUUGAAACUGCAGGGCUUGAGUGAAGUAGAGGUAAGCGGAAUUCGUGGUGUAGCGGUGAAAUGCGUAGAGAUUAGGAGGAACAUCGGUGGCGAAGGCGGCUUACUGGGCUUAUACUGACGCUGAGGCACGAAAGCGUGGGGAGCAAACAGGAUUAGAUACCCGGGUAGUC
RNAcentral lists this ribosomal RNA (440 nucleotides) under uncultured bacterium. Its description in RNAcentral is "partial 16S ribosomal RNA". It matches the Rfam family "Bacterial small subunit ribosomal RNA", at positions 338 to 795 of the family's 1533-position model. The record is from RNAcentral.